Molecule: ribosomal RNA, 777 nt
Filed under: uncultured Neocallimastigales
Lineage: Eukaryota; Fungi; Neocallimastigomycota; Neocallimastigomycetes; Neocallimastigales
Description: partial large subunit ribosomal RNA
Rfam family: Eukaryotic large subunit ribosomal RNA
Source: RNAcentral
UAUCUCUGUAGAGUCUGCAUAUCAAUAAGCGGAGGAAAAGAAACUAACUAGGAUUCCCUCAGUAACGGCGAGUGAAGCGGGAAGAGCUCAAAUUUGAAAUCUUCAAGGUUCUACCUUGACGAAUUGUAGUUUAAAGAAGUGUCUUCUGUUGGUGUUUUGGUAAAAGUUCUUUGGAAUAGGACAUCAUAGAGGGUGAGAAUCCCGUAUUUGACCAUUACUUUCCAGCUUUGUGAUACACUUUCAAAGAGUCGGAUUGUUUGGGAAUGCAGUCCAAAAUGGGUGGUAAAUUUCAUCUAAAGCUAAAUAUUGGCGAGAGACCGAUAGCGAAGCAAGUACCGUGAGGGAAAGAUGAAAAGAACUUUGAAAAGAGAGUUAAACAGUACGUGAAAUUGUCUAAAAGGGAAGCGUUUGACACCAGUGUUGUUUUCUCGAAAAUCAAUUAAAAAAGGCAGGAUUUUGUGUUGUAUUGACUUUAUCAGCUUUCUGCACUCUUUUCUUGUCUUUUUUAAUGCACUUUUCGUUUAACAAGUCAACAUCAAUUUCUUUUGUUGUAAAAGGGUCAUUGGAAGGUGGCUUUCUUUUCGGAGAAAGUGUUUAUAGCCUUUGGCCUCUGCAAUCGGAGAGAUUGAGGUCUGCAGCGUAGAUCCUUCGGGGUUAGAUACAUUUGUGCUAAGUUAUAGCCUUUCAUAGACAACUUGUUGACUAUGAUCAGUCAUGUAGCUUACUCGCUUAUGCUAUUUUACCUACGCUUAGGAUGUUGACGAUCAGCUGAGCGCG